GACGAACGCUGGCGGCGUGCUUAACACAUGCAAGUCGAACGGUAAGGCCCUUUGGGGUACACGAGUGGCGAACGGGUGAGUAACACGUGGGUGAUCUGCCCUGCACUUCGGGAUAAGCCUGGGAAACUGGGUCUAAUACCGGGUAGGACCACUGCCUGCAUGGGUGGUGGUGGAAAGCUUUUGCGGGGUGGGAUGGGCCCGCGGCCUAUCAGCUUGUUGGUGGGGUGAUGGCCUACCAAGGCGACGACGGGUAGCCGGCCUGUGAGGGUGACCGGCCACACUGGGUAUGGGAUACGGCCCAGACUCCGACGGGAGGCAGCAGUGGGGAAUAUUGCACAAUGGGCGCAAGCCUGAUGCAGCGACGCCGCGUGAGGGAUGACGGCCUUCGGGUUGUAAACCUCUUUCAGCACCGACGAAGCGCAAGUGACGGUAGGUGCAGAAGAGGGACCGGCCAACUACGUGCCAGCAGCCGCCGUAA
Molecule: ribosomal RNA, 478 nt
Filed under: uncultured bacterium
Lineage: Bacteria
Description: partial 16S ribosomal RNA
Rfam family: Bacterial small subunit ribosomal RNA
Source: RNAcentral